This 445-nucleotide ribosomal RNA is filed under the name uncultured bacterium. RNAcentral's name for it is "partial 16S ribosomal RNA". It matches the Rfam family "Bacterial small subunit ribosomal RNA", at positions 354 to 796 of the family's 1533-position model. The record is from RNAcentral.
GUGAGGAAUAUUGGUCAAUGGACGAGAGUCUGAACCAGCCAAGUCGCGUGAAGGAAGACGGUUCUAUGAAUUGUAAACUUCUUUUGUGCAGGAAUAAAGUGGGUUACGUGUAACCUUUUGUAUGUACUGUACGAAUAAGGAUCGGCUAACUCCGUGCCAGCAGCCGCGGUAAUACGGAGGAUCCGAGCGUUAUCCGGAUUUAUUGGGUUUAAAGGGUGCGUAGGUGGAUUGAUAAGUCAGCGGUGAAAGUUUGCAGCUUAACUGUAAAAUUGCCGUUGAAACUGUCGGUCUUGAGUGCAAAUGAAGUAGGCGGAAUGUGUUGUGUAGCGGUGAAAUGCUUAGAUAUAACACAGAACUCCGAUUGCGAAGGCAGCUUACUGGGAUGCAACUGACACUGAUGCACGAAAGCGUGGGUAUCAAACAGGAUUAGAAACCCUGGUAGUCC